GUGUCAGCAGCCGCGGUAAGACGAGCCUCACGAACGUUAUUCGGAAUUACUGGGCUUAAAGGGUGCGUAGGCUGUGCGGAAAGUUGGGUGUGAAAUCCCUCGGCUCAACCGAGGAACUGCGCCCAAAACUACCGUACUCGAGGAAGAUAGAGGUGAGCGGAACUUACGGUGGAGCGGUGAAAUGCGUUGAUAUCGUAAGGAACACCCGUGGCGAAAGCGGCUCACUGGGUCUUUUCUGACGCUGAUGCACGAAAGCUAGGGGAGCAAACGGGAUUAGAUACCCGCGUAGUCC
Molecule: ribosomal RNA, 292 nt
Filed under: uncultured bacterium
Lineage: Bacteria
Description: partial 16S ribosomal RNA
Rfam family: Bacterial small subunit ribosomal RNA
Source: RNAcentral